RNAcentral lists this ribosomal RNA (540 nucleotides) under uncultured bacterium. RNAcentral's name for it is "SSU rRNA". It matches the Rfam family "Bacterial small subunit ribosomal RNA", at positions 8 to 524 of the family's 1533-position model. The record is from RNAcentral.
AGAGUUUGAUCMUGGCUCAGAACGAACGCUGGCGGCGUGCUUAACACAUGCAAGUCGAACGCGAAAGGGACUUCGGUCCCGAGUAGAGUGGCGCACGGGUGAGUAACGCGUAAGUAAUCUACCCCUGUAUCUGGAAUAACCCACCGAAAGGUGAGCUAAUACCGGAUACGUUUAUCUUGAUGCGAAUGAUGAUAAAGAAAGGUGGCCUCUUCAUGAAAGCUACCGUACAGGGACGAGCUUGCGUACCAUUAGCUGGUUGGUAGGGUAAUGGCCUACCAAGGCGACGAUGGUUAGCGGGUCUGAGAGGAUGAUCCGCCACACUGGAACUGAAACACGGACCAGACUCCUACGGGAGGCAGCAGUGAGGAAUAUUGCGCAAUGGGGGCAACCCUGACGCAGCGACGCCGCGUGGACGAUGAAGGCCCUUGGGUCGUAAAAUCCUGUCAGAUGGAAAGAAAUGUACAGGUGUUAAUAUCGCCUGUAUUUGACGGUACCAUCAAAGGAAGCACCGGCUAACUCCGUGCCAGCMGCCGCGGUAAU